This 440-nucleotide ribosomal RNA is filed under the name uncultured bacterium. RNAcentral describes it as "partial 16S ribosomal RNA". It matches the Rfam family "Bacterial small subunit ribosomal RNA", at positions 338 to 795 of the family's 1533-position model. The record is from RNAcentral.
CCUACGGGAGGCAGCAGUGGGGAAUAUUGCACAAUGGGCGAAACCCUGAUGCAGCGACGCCGCGUGAGUGAAGAAGGAUUUCGGAUUGUAAAGCUCUAUUAGCAGGGAAGAAAAUGUGGGUACCUGACUGAGAAGCCCAGGCCAACUACGUGCCAGCAGUCGCGGUAAUACGUCGGUGGCAAGCGUUAUACGGAUUUACUGGGUGUAACGGGAGCGUAGGCGGUUAUUCAAGUCAGAAGUGAAAGCAUGUGGCUCAACCCUGGGAGUGCUGUUGAAACUGUGUAACUUGAGUGCAGGAGAGGAAAGCGGAAUGCCUGGUGUAGCGGUGAAAUGCGUAGAUAUCAGGAGGAACACCAGUUGCGAAGGCGGCUUACUGGACUGUAACUGACGCUGAGGCACGAAAGCGUGGGGAGCAAACAGGAUUAGAUACCCUAGUAGUC